AGUGAACGCUGGCGGUAGGCCUAACACAUGCAAGUCGAACGGCAGCACAGUAAGAGCUUGCUCUUACGGGUGGCGAGUGGCGGACGGGUGAGGAAUACAUCGGAAUCUACUUUUUCGUGGGGGAUAACGUAGGGAAACUUACGCUAAUACCGCAUACGACCUACGGGUGAAAGCAGGGGAUCUUCGGACCUUGCGCGAUUGAAUGAGCCGAUGUCGGAUUAGCUAGUUGGCGGGGUAAAGGCCCACCAAGGCGACGAUCCGUAGCUGGUCUGAGAGGAUGAUCAGCAACACUGGAACUGAGACACGGUCCAGACUCCUAAGGGAGGCAGCAGUGGGGAAUCUUGGAGAAUGGGCGGAAGCCUGAUCCAGCCAUACCGCGUGGGUGAAGAAGGCCUUCGGGUUGUAAAGCCCUUUUGUUGGGAAAGAAAAGCAGCAGGUUAAUACCCCGCUGUUCUGACGGUACCCAAAGAAUAAGCACCGGCUAACUUCGU
This 491-nucleotide ribosomal RNA is filed under the name uncultured bacterium. RNAcentral describes it as "partial 16S ribosomal RNA". It matches the Rfam family "Bacterial small subunit ribosomal RNA", at positions 29 to 506 of the family's 1533-position model. The record is from RNAcentral.